UGGGGAAUUUUGGACAAUGGGCGAAAGCCUGAUCCAGCAAUGCCGCGUGUGUGAAGAAGGCCCUCGGGUUGUAAAGCACUUUUGUCCGGAAAGAAAUCCUUGGCUCUAAUACAGUCGGGGGAUGACGGUACCGGAAGAAUAAGCACCGGCUAACUACGUGCCAGCAGCCGCGGUAAUACGUAGGGUGCAAGCGUUAAUCGGAAUUACUGGGCGUAAAGCGUGCGCAGGCGGUUUGCUAAGACCGAUGUGAAAUCCCCGGGCUCAACCUGGGAACUGCAUUGGUGACUGGCAGGCUAGAGUAUGGCAGAGGGGGGUAGAAUUCCACGUGUAGCAGUGAAAUGCGUAGAGAUGUGGAGGAAUACCGAUGGCGAAGGCAGCCCCCUGGGCCAAUACUGACGCUCAUGCACGAAAGCGUGGGGGAGCAAACAGGAUUAGAUACCCUGGUAGUCCACGCCCUAAACGAUGUCAACUAGUUGUUGGGGAUUCAUUUCCUUAGUAACGUAGCUAACGCGUGAAGUUGACCGCCUGGGGAGUACGGUCGCAAGAUUAAACUCAAAUGAAUUGACGGGGUCAUAGCUGUUUCCU
RNAcentral lists this ribosomal RNA (585 nucleotides) under uncultured bacterium. RNAcentral's name for it is "partial 16S ribosomal RNA". It matches the Rfam family "Bacterial small subunit ribosomal RNA", at positions 355 to 1375 of the family's 1533-position model. The record is from RNAcentral.